CUGAUGGCUACAACCCAGCAACUUGGAUGCUUGAGGUUACUACUCCUACCGUUGAAGAAAGGAUUUGUGAAGAUUUUGCUGAGUUAUAUGAAAAUUCUGAGCAAUACAGGGAGAGGUGGAAGCUUCAAUUAUGCAUUUCAGUGCUCCGCCUGCAGGCUCAGAACCAUUAAAGUUUGUUUCUACAUAUUCACAAGAUAUAUCGACUCAGUUUGGGAUUUGCCUUAGGAAACAAAAUCUUGUAUACUGGAGAAGUCCACAAUACAAUGCCGUGAGGAUAUUUUUUACUGUAUUAGCUGCAUUUAUAUUAGGCUCAGUGUUUUGGAAAACUGGUUCAGAAAGGGACUCUACUCAAUCUUUGUUUAUUGUCAUGGGAGCUCUAUACUCUGCCUGUCUGUUUCUUGGGGUCAAUAAUGCUUCCUCAGUGCAGCCAAUAAUUUCUAUUGAGAGGACGGUGUUCUAUAGAGAAAAGGCAGCUGGAAUGUACUCUCCAUUAGCCUAUGCCGCAGCACAGGGUCUUGUGGAAGUACCAUACAUCAUUUUGCAAACAAUUUUAUAUGGAAUUAUCACAUAUUUCAUGAUUAAUUUUGAAAGGACGGGCGGCAAAUUUUUCCUCUAUUUGUUGUUCAUGUUCCUUACUUUCACCUACUUCACAUUUUAUGGAAUGAUGGUUGUUGGUCUC
RNAcentral lists this unclassified non-coding RNA (679 nucleotides) under Hevea brasiliensis (rubber tree). The record is from RNAcentral. Lineage: Eukaryota; Viridiplantae; Streptophyta; Magnoliopsida; Malpighiales; Euphorbiaceae.